RNAcentral lists this long non-coding RNA (452 nucleotides) under Elaeis guineensis (African oil palm). RNAcentral describes it as "long non-coding RNA (EGUI_LNC006007)". Lineage: Eukaryota; Viridiplantae; Streptophyta; Magnoliopsida; Arecales; Arecaceae. The record is from RNAcentral.
UGCUUUCUUGUUCUUAUCAAUAAUGGUUGAACUCUUCUUCUGAUCCACUUCUCAAGAAUAUAUUUCCAUAAUACUUGUUUAAUGGGAUUUUUGAAAAUGCUAAGGAAUAUAAAGUAUAUUUGUAUUUUGCAACAUUGGUGGAAUCGUUUGAUUCGGGGGUAUUGAACUAUACCGGUGGCGAAUCGAGAUGGUUUCACCCUCUUGAUUGAGAAACCUUCAGAAGGGGAGAGGGGAGAAAGAGAGAGAGGAAGUGAGAGAGAGAGGAGGGAGGNNNNNNNNNNNNNNNNNNNNUCAGAAGGGGAGAGGGAGAAGAGAGAGAGGAAGUGAGAGAGAGAGAGGGAGGGAGGUAGAGUGAGUGGUUGGAAUAGGGGCGAGGAGGGGGGGUACUGAACUAUAUUGGUGGCGAACCGAGAUGGUUGCGGCCUCUAGAUUGAGAAACCAUCAGAAGGGGA